AGAACGAACGCUGGCGGCAUGCCUAACACAUGCAAGUCGAACGAGACCUUCGGGUCUAGUGGCGCACGGGUGCGUAACGCGUGGGAAUCUGCCCUUGGGUCCGGAAUAACAGUGAGAAAUUACUGCUAAUACCGGAUGAUGACGUAAGUCCAAAGAUUUAUCGCCCAGGGAUAAGCCCGCGUAAGAUUAGGUAGUUGGUGGGGUAAAGGCCUACCAAGCCGACGAUCUUUAGCUGGUCUGAGAGGAUGAUCAGCCACACUGGGACUGAGACACGGCCCAGACUCCUACGGGAGGCAGCAGUGGGGAAUAUUGGACAAUGGGCGAAAGCCUGAUCCAGCAAUGCCGCGUGAGUGAUGAAGGCCCUAGGGUUGUAAAGCUCUUUUACCCGGGAUGAUAAUGACAGUACCGGGAGAAUAAGCCCGGCUAACUCCGCGCCAGCAGCCGC
This 445-nucleotide ribosomal RNA is filed under the name uncultured bacterium. RNAcentral's name for it is "SSU rRNA". It matches the Rfam family "Bacterial small subunit ribosomal RNA", at positions 26 to 518 of the family's 1533-position model. The record is from RNAcentral.